This 71-nucleotide transfer RNA is filed under the name Loxodonta africana (African savanna elephant). It matches the Rfam family "tRNA". Rfam says of the family: Transfer RNA (tRNA) molecules are approximately 80 nucleotides in length. Their secondary structure includes four short double-helical elements and three loops (D, anti-codon, and T loops). Further hydrogen bonds mediate the characteristic L-shaped molecular structure. tRNAs have two regions of fundamental functional importance: the anti-codon, which is responsible for specific mRNA codon recognition, and the 3' end, to which the tRNAs corresponding amino acid is attached (by aminoacyl-tRNA synthetases). tRNAs cope with the degeneracy of the genetic code in two manners: having more than one tRNA (with a specific anti-codon) for a particular amino acid; and 'wobble' base-pairing, i.e. permitting non-standard base-pairing at the 3rd anti-codon position. The record is from Rfam by way of RNAcentral. Lineage: Eukaryota; Metazoa; Chordata; Mammalia; Proboscidea; Elephantidae.
ACAUUGGUGGUUCAGUGGUAGAAUUUUUGCCUCCCAUGCAGGAAAGCCAGGUUUGAUUCUUGGCCAGUGGA